GAUGAACGCUGGCGGCGUGCCUAAUACAUGCAAGUCGAACGGUGAUAGCAAUAUCAUAGUGGCGACCGGGUGCGUAACACGUAGCUGACCUGCCCCUCAGCGGGGACGAACACCGGGAAACUGGUGCUAAUACCGCAUAGUUUCGAGAGAAUUAGAACAUCUCGAAUAAACUUACGGGGCGUGAGGGAGGGGCUGCGGCCCAUCAGGUAGUUGGUGAGGUAACGGCUCACCAAGCCGACGGACGGGUAGGGGCCUGGAGAGGGUCGGUCCCCCACACCUGGGACUGACAACGGCCAGACUCCUACGGGAGCAGCAGUAAGGAAUAUUGCGCAAU
RNAcentral lists this ribosomal RNA (334 nucleotides) under uncultured bacterium. Its description in RNAcentral is "bacterial SSU rRNA". It matches the Rfam family "Bacterial small subunit ribosomal RNA", at positions 28 to 372 of the family's 1533-position model. The record is from RNAcentral.